UAGCUGCAACCUAUAAGGUGGUUUCGCAUCCAACUUAAUCUAUAUCUAUUAUCGGCAACUAAAUCACAAGCAGUAGACUCUCGACGGUGAAACUUGGAAUUCCGAUUAUGGCGAUCGCUGGGAAUCGACACCUUGAAAGAAUAUAUGGUAAAGAAGAAUCAUCACUGCUGUUGCUGCUGCUGAAUGAUGAAUGUGUUUGAGAAGAAAGGAGAACACAUCGUUUGGAUUAAUCAAUCAGCUCCUUGUCAAAACGUUGUCGUAUUAUUGUUGUAUUUAUUUAUUUCUCUGUACAUCAGUCAUUCUUUAUUGGCUGAACUUUGUAUAUAUAUUUAUGUUUCAGUAAUGAGAAUCUCAAUGAGCAUUUUCUCCAAACAGCAGUGUU
This 382-nucleotide long non-coding RNA is filed under the name Linum usitatissimum (flax). RNAcentral describes it as "long non-coding RNA (LUSI_LNC005143)". Lineage: Eukaryota; Viridiplantae; Streptophyta; Magnoliopsida; Malpighiales; Linaceae. The record is from RNAcentral.